UUGUUGGAGAGUUUGAUCCUGGCUCAGGACGAACGCUGGCGGCGUGCUUAACACAUGCAAGUCGAACGCUGAAGCCCAGCUUGCUGGGUGGAUGAGUGGCGAACGGGUGAGUAACACGUGGGUAAUCUGCCCUGUACUCUGGGAUAAGCCUGGGAAACUGGGUCUAAUACCGGAUAGGACCAUUGCAGGCAUCUGUGGUGGUGGAAAGCUUCGGCGGUACAGGUUGAGCCCGCGGCCUAUCAGCUUGUUGGUGGGGUGAUGGCCUACCAAGGCGGUGACGGGUAGCCGGCCUGAGAG
RNAcentral lists this ribosomal RNA (297 nucleotides) under Prauserella endophytica. RNAcentral's name for it is "partial 16S ribosomal RNA". It matches the Rfam family "Bacterial small subunit ribosomal RNA", at positions 1 to 298 of the family's 1533-position model. The record is from RNAcentral. Lineage: Bacteria; Bacillati; Actinomycetota; Actinomycetes; Pseudonocardiales; Pseudonocardiaceae.